AGACCAUGAUGUGGGCAUUUCCUUAAUAACUCCUUGAACUUUUCUCAUGUCUCGUACAAAUAUUCCCCGUCCUCUUGAGAGUAUGAGUUAACUUCGUUCAUAAGUUU
This is a non-coding RNA of Helianthus annuus (common sunflower), 107 nucleotides long. The record is from Rfam. Lineage: Eukaryota; Viridiplantae; Streptophyta; Magnoliopsida; Asterales; Asteraceae.